This is a non-coding RNA of Durio zibethinus, 4174 nucleotides long. NCBI's taxonomy places the organism in Eukaryota, Viridiplantae, Streptophyta, Magnoliopsida, Malvales, Malvaceae. The record is from RefSeq and is a predicted model, not a curated record.
GAUCCAACUUUGCCAUCAAGAAAACCUCCCCCCCCAAAAAAAACAAAUAAACUCUCUUUCCGCUAGAGAGAGAAAAUAAAAGAAAAUUCGGAGAAAAAAAAAAACAGAGAAAAUAGAGGAAGAAGAGAGGCAUCAAUGGCGGAGGGAGAAAAGGAGAAGAAAUCAACGAACGAAGAGAGCGUGAAGCUGUUCGUUGGUCAAGUGCCGAAGCAUAUGACGGAAGCUCAACUUCUCGCAAUGUUCAAAGAGUUUGCUUUGGUCGACGAAGUCAACAUCAUCAAAGACAAGGCUACUCGCACCUCUAGAGGAUGUUGCUUUGUUAUAUGCCCGUCGAGACAAGAGGCCGAUAAGGCAGUCAAUGCCUGUCAUAAUAAGAAGACUUUGCCUGGGGCUUCUAGUCCAUUACAAGUGAAGUAUGCAGAUGGCGAGUUGGAAAGAUUAGAGCACAAACUCUUUGUUGGCAUGCUGCCAAAGAAUGUCUCGGAAGCUGAAGUUUCUGCUUUAUUUUCUAACUAUGGAACCAUAAAGGAAAUACAGAUCCUAAGAGGUUCUCAACAGACAAGUAAAGGCUGUGCCUUUUUGAAGUAUGAGACAAAAGAACAAGCCCUUGACGCCCUGGAGGCCAUUAAUGGAAAGCAUAAAAUGGAGGGCUCAAGUGUCCCUGUUGUUGUCAAAUGGGCAGAUACAGAAAAGGAAAGACAAGCUCGGAGGGCCCAGAAAGCCCAAUCUCAAGCUUUGAAUAUACCAAAUGCUGAUUCACAACAUCCUUCAUUGUUUGGAGCCAUGCCAAUGGGUUAUGUUCCUCCAUACAAUGGUUAUGGAUAUCAGGCUCCAGGAAGUUAUGGAAUUAUGCAGUACCGCUUGCCACCAAUGCAGAAUCAGCCUCCAUUCCACAAUAUGGUUCCUCCAGUAAAUCAAGGUGCAUUGCAAGGAAUCACACCUGACCUCGCUCCCAAUAUUGCUCCUAGAAAUAAUGCUAUGCCUCCUGCAAGUUAUGUGGGAUCGGCUUAUCCAGCUGUGACAGGUGUUCAGUACCCCAUGGCAUAUCCCGGGGGAAUCAUGAGCCACAGUCCAUUGACUGGUUCACCUGGUUCAGUGCCACAAGCAAAUACAAGCAGUAAUUCUUCAUCAUCUUCCAGUGCUGGUACAAGUUCAGGAGGUCAGAUUGAAGGUCCACCUGGUGCAAAUCUAUUUAUUUAUCACAUACCUCAAGAUUUUGGUGAUCAAGAGUUGGCUACCGCUUUUCAAGGAUUUGGUAGGGUCUUAAGUGCAAAGGUUUUUGUUGACAAAGCAACGGGGGUUAGUAAAUGUUUUGGAUUUGUUAGUUAUGACUCUCCAGCAGCUGCUCAAAAUGCAAUAAACAUGAUGAAUGGAUGCCAAUUAGGUGGUAAGAAACUGAAGGUUCAGCUUAAGAGAGACAACAAACAGAACAAACCUUAUUGAUUGGGAGGUGAGUCUUGGAAGGAAGCAGAAAAUGUCUGUAACAUGUGGUCAACAUGGAACUUGGAUAUAUUGACUGACUGGUGACUUCAGUAUCAGCAUUUUGGGUGGAUUGAGGAUAACCUGUGGUUAUAUGUGUCACUCCAUCCUUCUUGUAAUUGCUUCAUGGGAUUAAAAUCCCAGAAACUUGUAAUUCAUGGUGCAUUCGUUGCCUACACGAUUUGUAUUCUGUGUAUCAUUGAAUUCCAUUUAGACACUAAUUAUUAAUUUAUUGAUUUUUCCUUGAGAAUAUCUGUUCUUAUUUUAAUCUUGUGGGGACAUCAUGAUUCAAUGUCCCCUAAAUGUAUUGUUUCCACAUUCAAUAACUUGUUUUUCUGCAAUUUGAUUUUUUUUCCUCACCAAGGUACAUUCUGGGAGUUUAUUCAACUCCUGUGUAUAUUCACUCAAGAGCAUUGUACUUAAGCACUUCUCUUCUGUUCACUGGGGCAAUUUAUUUUUGCUGAUAUUUUUUUAAAGAGCAGCUUCCUGUUAUCCUAGAAAAGAAUGGCUUUAGUAGUGGGUUUGUUUAUAUCCAAGUUGUCUGAAGUGAUUGUCCAAGUUUCUUUUAGAAAUGCAUUCUGAUCUAUGACAUUCAGGUAUUAUAAAAUCAUCUGUACAUUGAGGUCCUGUUAUCUUUGAGGUUUUUGCAUGUGAUUUCCUUUCUGUCCAUCUUGCCAUUGGUUUGGUUCAAGAUGUUGGAGAUAUAUUAACUUGAUGGUUCCCAUCCAAUACUCCGUUGAAAUGUGGAGGUAUUUCUCAUGCUCUGCUCUUUCAAUUGAGUAUUCUCCUGCCUGAGUACAUCUGCUGUCGCAGGAUAACCAAGGACCCAACAUCUCAGGUAAUGCUUGUUGCUUGUAUGUUGAGUGUUCUUUGUCCUGGGAUCAAGAAGCAUUACCAACAAUUAAGGUACCAUCUAUGUCAUUUAUGAGAAUCAUCAUCAUGACAUCACUUGGAUUAAAAUCGGAAUUACUGUAGUGUAGGGCUUGGAUCUUGCUAAUUUCUGACUAUCCUUCACAAGCCUCGUUCAGUUUGUGCAGAACUAUUUCUGACAUGAUGAACUUUUUCUGCCAUUUUAUAUAUCCUUUGAUUUUAUACUUGCUUAUUUGUAUUAGUUCAUAACUGCAUGAGAAUUGGUCUUUUUCAGGGGCAUUGCGUGGUUAGAGGUAUACUGAAUUGUAGUAUUGCUGGUUGCUGCCAAUAUCAAGUUGAUAUAAAGAACUAAUUAUUGAGGGUAGACUAUUUUGCUGGUAAAUAUUUUAAAACGUCAUACCUGGAAAAAUCAUAGAAGGCUGAACAACUGGAAGAUGUGUCUUGCUGUGUGUCUGGGAUUCAUUUUAUUUAUUUUGCUUUCUCACCAUUUACAUUAGCAAAUUAUGCGUCCACCUGAUAUUAUUAGUGUAUUUGAAAGGUUGAAUUGGAACUUCGCGGGUGAUGUAUUUCAGCAUUGUAUUGCAUUUCUUUUCAGAAGCAUCAAGCAUAUCAUCAAAUGAUGUUAUUGAUCUGGUAUUGUUGAAAGUAGGAAAGCAUCAAGCAUAUCUGGUUGCAAAUGCCCAUAUUCUUAUCCAAAACCUUGAAUACGCAAUGAGACUAGGAUGCUAUGUAUCGUGAACAUCAUUUAUUUUGUUGAGAUUAUGCUGCAAGUUCUACGAAGUUGGAAUUGCAUGUUUUACGGUGACCUAAAGAUAAAAUGCUUUACUCAAUCUGAGCACCUGUCACCCACUAAACUAUCCCUGCUACUAAAAUUUGAAGCAAUCUUUUCCUUAACUUUUAGCUCCAAGUAGUUUAUACCGCCCUAAUUGAUAUUCAAGUUUCAUUUAUUCACUGAUGAGGACAUUUUAAUCUGACAGGAAAGUUUGGACUAUGUUGAAGCGUCCUGCCCCCAUUUCUUGACAACAGGUGCUGUUUUGUUCAUUUCAGUUCAUUCCAUAGGCGUCUCUCUUCUCUGUCAUGCCAUUUGUCAAAAUAUUCCUGUGGGUGUUUGGCGCAUCCCCACUGCUUUAUUCUUCUUGUUUUUCCUGUAAAUAAGACUGUAUAUAGGUAGACAAAGCAAAGAAACGCAUUUGUUUUGUUUAGAUUAAACUACAUAUGCUCACAUAACAUCUAGAAGAAAGCCUAGUAUUCAUAUUUGAGUAUGAUUGUUGUAAAUCUGUUGGCUGCCUACUUUUGGCCGUCCUUUCCAAUUUUUCCACUUCUCUUUUUUUUUACGAGUAACGUGAAUGAAUGUUGUUUGUGUAGUGGGUCAUAAUCUGGUCACCAUCAGUAUCAACCUUAUCGACAAUGCUUCCUCAUGAUUCUUUUCUCUUCUGCCAUUCCACGUUUCCCAUUCUUGAUUUGUGGCGAGUUUUGAGUGCUUUCCAGCAGGUGAUAGAUUUGAACCUACAAUUCUAUGCCAAACUCGACUGUUCAGCCUCGUUUCUUCUUUCUUUUAUCACUACUUUUUUAUACAAUAUCAAUUAUGAUUUACACCAAUGAAAUUUACAAACUCAUUUAUUUGAUACUUACUAUCUAAAUGUCAAAUUUUGAAGCAGAACAAGUCUUUUGCUUUCUGGUUGAAACAGUCAAUAAACCUGUUGUACUUGCUCAGUAAGAUCAGAUGAAUCUAUUGUUUUGAAUUUGACGUGUUUAAACAUGAAUAAAAAUUUGAUUUUUUAUGUUUAAAAUCAAAUCAAAUUAUUUGUUGUUCUCGAAGUGGUUU